CGAGCAUCACAGAGCAGGAUAGCUGAUAACGUCAGCCGAGGGCGACCUUAGGGCAAGUGCAACAGAGAUAUACCGCCUGUUUGUACGCUUACGCGUACAAACGGUAAGGGUGGAAAGGCGAGGUAAGAGCUCACCGGAGCGUGGGAGACCACGCUGCCAUGUAAACCCUAUCCGAUGCAACGCCGAUUGGUGGCGGGGGUAACGCGUCUGCUCGGCGCGCCCGCUUAAAGGCGGCUCGAUCUUACCGGCGACGGUGAGGCUAGAUAGAUGAUCAUACACGACAGAACUCGGCUUAUCGAUGUAGUCACAUU
RNAcentral lists this RNase P RNA (311 nucleotides) under Oscillospiraceae bacterium. RNAcentral describes it as "partial RNase P RNA component class A". It matches the Rfam family "Bacterial RNase P class A", at positions 53 to 367 of the family's 367-position model. From Rfam's summary of the family: Ribonuclease P (RNase P) is a ubiquitous endoribonuclease, found in archaea, bacteria and eukarya as well as chloroplasts and mitochondria. Its best characterised activity is the generation of mature 5'-ends of tRNAs by cleaving the 5'-leader elements of precursor-tRNAs. Cellular RNase Ps are ribonucleoproteins. Lineage: Bacteria; Bacillati; Bacillota; Clostridia; Eubacteriales; Oscillospiraceae. The record is from RNAcentral.